This 2527-nucleotide long non-coding RNA is filed under the name Sus scrofa (pig). RNAcentral describes it as "lncRNA (ENSSSCG00015069436.1)". Lineage: Eukaryota; Metazoa; Chordata; Mammalia; Artiodactyla; Suidae. The record is from RNAcentral.
AUGGAGAGAUGGAGAGGUUAUUACCCAAAAACACACAGCCAAUAAAUGGUGAAAGCAAGAUUUAAAUGUGGGUCCAGGAAGUUUCCCCUUGUGACUCAGUGGGUUACAAACAUGAUUGGUAUCUAUGACGAUGCAGGUUCCAUCCCUGGCCUCUCUCGGGUUAAAGAUCCCGCAAGCUGUGGUGUAGGUGGCAGACACAGCUUGGAUCCCAUGUUGCUGUGGCUGUGGUGCAGGCUGGCAGUGCCAGCUCUAAUUGAACCCCUAGCCUGGGAACUUCCAUAGCUACAGGUCCACCCUAAAUAGCCAGAAAAAAAAAAGUGGGUCCAGAGUUCCUUCUUCUUUUAUUACAACCUGUUUGUUUUGUUUUGUUUUCGUUUUUUGUGGGGUUUUUUUUGUUUGUUGUUUUGUUUUGUUUUUUUAAGCACAGGGAGAACAUAGUAUCCAAGGAGGAAAACAAAUUUUCAACAAAAAUACCCCAAAGAGUUCAUGUUGUCCUAACAGCAAAUCUCCCCCUAAAUUUUGGGAAAUAUACUUAUAUUUUCCCAUUUGUUUCUUUGGUAAGAGGACUGUCUCUUUCCCCCAAAGCCCUAUAAACCAGCGCUGUCCAAUAGGAUUUUCUGUGAAGAUGGAAACAGCCUAUAAUCUUGCUGCCUAAUAUGGUAGCUAUUGGCCUCAUGUUGCUGUUGAAUAAGUGUAAUAUGCACUCAGGAUUUCAGAGUCUUUGUAGAAUAGAGGAAGGUAAAAUAACUCACUGACACUUUAAAAAAAUUAUUGCAUGGUAAAAUGAUAAUAUAUUUGGCUAAAUUUAACAUAUUUUAAAAUUAGUUUUACCUUUUUUCUUUUUUUUUUUUCACUUGUUGAACGUGGCUACUAGAAAACUUAGAAUUGCGUAUGUUGGCUGCAUGAUAUUUCUAUUGGCAUCAUAUGAUCUAGGUCGUUUGUCUAUGAAUAUGUUUAUAUAUUUACAAUUAUGUAUGUGUAUGUAUGUAUAUCUGUGUGUGUAUGUAUGUAUAUCUACCAUCUAUCUAUUGAUGGUCAUUUUAUUUUUAAUAGAAACAGUAUCACGUAGUAUACAAUGCUUUACAAUUUGUUAUCAUUUCAGAGUAAUUAGGGUUUUUUUUCCCCUCAUGUUGGUACAUAUAAAUCAACAUCAUUCUCUUAAUUACUAUAUAGCAGUGCUUAAACUGAUUUAUGAGUUGCUCAUCCAUUGAUACACAGUACAUGCUUGGAUGGAUAUAAAGUAUCAGAAGAGAAGCAGGUGCAAUUCUGGAGAAUACAGCCUUUUAAGAGGUGGACAGAGGUUAGCCCUGCAGACUGGUUUGAGAGAUAGGACCUACCCAGGACAGAGGUAUUGACAGAAACCGAGAGAUUGAAGUUCCAAGAAGGGUCAAUGGGAAUUGAUACGAAGAAUUCAAAAAAGUGAGCUUCUAAAGACUAGCGUCUGGAUGUAGCAACUAAAGAGGUGAUGGCUCACUGAGGAAGUGAGCAGAAGGAUGUCUGGAUUCCGGUGGGUUGAGGAUCAAAUAGGAAAUGCAGCAAUAGAGGAUAUGGAUGCAGGCUUGCUUCUCUUUUUGAAUCCUGUAGAAUUUUUUUUUGUUUUUCUCAUGACAGAAGUAUUUAUGCCCUGGCAAUUUUAUUCCUAUAGGGUGAAUUUUCAGAAGUGGAUCAUUGGGUUUGUGUAUUUUUAAAAUUUUUACAGACAUUUCUAAUUUAGGUUCCCAAAAGGUUGUAACAAUUCAACCAGAACAUGUGACAGUGAGAAUUCCCCCCAAUGUUUCCCAGUUCUGUGUUUUCUCUUUUCUUUCAAUUCUACUAAUCUAAUAGGCAGAAAAUGAUAUCUCUUCUUUAAAUUUAUUCUGUUUUCUUGAUUACAAAUGAGUUUGAUCAUUUUUACAUGGAUUUUUAAAUUACUUCUACUGAGAAUUCUCUAUUCUCUGUUUAUUUUUGUACUGUUGGGUUUUUUCUUUUUAUAAUUAAAAUAUCUUUUUGUACAUUACGGAGAUUAAUCCCAUUUCUACAAUAUAUGCUGUGCAAAUUUCUCCUGAGACCAUCACGGGUGUUUGACUUUUUUUUUAAUUGAACUGUAGUUUAUUUACAAUAUUAUAUUAGUUUCAGGUGUACAUCAUAGUGAUAUAGAAUCUUUGUAUAACCUUAUGUUGUUGACGAUCCUUCAGAAAAUGAAACUUAGAGAUUCGCUGGUGGCCUAGGUUAAGGAUCCAGGUGUUGUCACUACUGUGGCUCAGGUCACUGCUCUGGCAUGGGUUCCAUGGGAACUUCCACAUGUGGCAGGAGUUCCCAUCGUGGCGCAGUGGUUAACGAAUCCGACUAGGAACAAUGAGGUUGCGGGUUCGGUCCCUGCCCUUGCUCAGGGGGUUAAGGAUCCGGCAUUGCCAUGAGCUGUGGUGUAGGUUGCAGACGCAGCUUGGAUCUGGCAUUGCUGUGUCUCUGGCGUAGGCCGGCAGCUACAGCUCCGAUUCGACGCCUAGCCUGGGAAUCUCCAUAUGCCACGGGAGUGGCCCAAGAAACG